CUUCAUCAGGAAGCCCGGGGGGCUGAGGCCCGGUCAGCAGCAGCUCCGCUUUGGCUCCGAAGGCUGUCUGCGGAGUUUGAAGCCCUUUCCUCCAGAAGGUGGGCUAGCGUCAGUGGAGGGAAU
This 123-nucleotide microRNA precursor is filed under the name Ovis aries (sheep). RNAcentral's name for it is "miRNA (ENSOARG00000023644.1)". The record is from RNAcentral. Lineage: Eukaryota; Metazoa; Chordata; Mammalia; Artiodactyla; Bovidae.